GUAGGUGGCAAGCGUUGUCCGGAAUUAUUGGGCGUAAAGCGCGCGCAGGCGGCUCUUUAAGUCUGAUGUGAAAGCCCACGGCUCAACCGUGGAGGGUCAUUGGAAACUGGAGAACUUGAGUACAGAAGAGGAAAGCGGAAUUCCACGUGUAGCGGUGAAAUGCGUAGAGAUGUGGAGGAACACCAGUGGCGAAGGCGGCUUUCUGGUCUGUAACUGACGCUGAGGCGCGAAAGCGUGGGGGGAGCAAACAGGAUUAGAUACCCUGGUAGUCCACGCCGUAAACGAUGAGUGCUAAGUGUUAGGGGGUUUCCGCCCCCCCCUUAGUGCUGCAGCUAACGCAUUAAGCACUCCGCCUGGGAGUACGGCCGCAAGGCUG
RNAcentral lists this ribosomal RNA (376 nucleotides) under uncultured organism. Its description in RNAcentral is "partial 16S ribosomal RNA". It matches the Rfam family "Bacterial small subunit ribosomal RNA", at positions 527 to 896 of the family's 1533-position model. The record is from RNAcentral.